Molecule: long non-coding RNA, 317 nt
Organism: Carcharodon carcharias (great white shark)
Lineage: Eukaryota; Metazoa; Chordata; Chondrichthyes; Lamniformes; Lamnidae
Exons: 2
Source: RefSeq, a predicted model, not a curated record
GAUAACAGAAACCAAUGAAGCUAAUAAGAGACAUGUUAUAUCAAUGCAUGGCCCAAAGCCAACAGAUUAGAGCUGACAUAUUUGGUCUGGAGCUGUCCUGUCGUGAGGGACCUGAGAAGCAGAUAGCCAGAUACCUGGAAACACUCGACUGAUGGCUUCAAACUGAAAAAUCCACAAGAAUCUGCUAGUGCACAGAUGUUAUAUUCCAGCUGUGCAAAAGAAUUUAUUGCUUUCUUGUUGCUAUGCCAACAAAAAUAUAUGUAAAAAAAUACUGGAUUUCUUUUUGUUGUCAGGUUAAUAAACGUGUCACACUUGUA